RNAcentral lists this ribosomal RNA (440 nucleotides) under uncultured Pseudomonas sp. RNAcentral's name for it is "bacterial SSU rRNA". It matches the Rfam family "Bacterial small subunit ribosomal RNA", at positions 358 to 790 of the family's 1533-position model. Lineage: Bacteria; Pseudomonadati; Pseudomonadota; Gammaproteobacteria; Pseudomonadales; Pseudomonadaceae. The record is from RNAcentral.
GGAAUAUUGGACAAUGGGCGAAAGCCUGAUCCAGCCAUGCCGCGUGUGUGAAGAAGGUCUUCGGAUUGUAAAGCACUUUAAGUUGGGAGGAAGGGUUGUAGAUUAAUACUCUGCAAUUUUGACGUUACCGACAGAAUAAGCACCGGCUAACUCUGUGCCAGCAGCCGCGGUAAUACAGAGGGUGCAAGCGUUAAUCGGAAUUACUGGGCGUAAAGCGCGCGUAGGUGGUUUGUUAAGUUGAAUGUGAAAUCCCCGGGCUCAACCAGGGAACUGCAUCCAAGACUGGCAAGCUAGAGUAGGGCAGAGGGUGGUGGAAUUUCCUGUGUAGCGGUGAAAUGCGUAGAUAUAGGAAGGAACACCAGUGGCGAAGGCGACCACCUGGGCUCAUGCUGACACUGAGGUGCGAAAGCGUGGGGAGCAAACAGGAUUAGAUACCCUAG